AGCACUUGUGUUUGUUUUUGUUUAAUUUGUGGACAAAGAUUUACAGACAAGUGCGAAAGUAAAUCCUCUUUUGCAACCCACAACUCAUUGUCCAGUAUACAGAUAAGAAGGAACAUG
Molecule: small nucleolar RNA, 117 nt
Filed under: Cervus hanglu yarkandensis (Yarkand deer)
Lineage: Eukaryota; Metazoa; Chordata; Mammalia; Artiodactyla; Cervidae
Description: Small nucleolar RNA SNORA40 (ENSCHYG00000025301.1)
Rfam family: Small nucleolar RNA SNORA40
About the family: The snoRNA ACA 40 belongs to the H/ACA family of snoRNAs and guides the pseudouridylation of 28S rRNA subunit at position U4565. NB This family has a high threshold value to exclude a large number of closely related sequences that do not appear to have conserved H and ACA boxes, and may be pseudogenes.
Source: Rfam by way of RNAcentral